This 253-nucleotide ribosomal RNA is filed under the name uncultured bacterium. Its description in RNAcentral is "partial 16S ribosomal RNA". It matches the Rfam family "Bacterial small subunit ribosomal RNA", at positions 524 to 776 of the family's 1533-position model. The record is from RNAcentral.
UACGUAGGGCGCAAGCGUUGUCCGGAAUUAUUGGGCGUAAAGAGCUCGUAGGCGGUCUGUUGCGUCCGCUGUGAAAACUCGGGGCUUAACCCCGAGCCUGCAGUGGAUACGGGCAGACUAGAGGUAGGUAGGGGAGAAUGGAAUUCCCGGUGUAGCGGUGAAAUGCGCAGAUAUCGGGAGGAACACCGGUGGCGAAGGCGACUUCCUGGCCUGUUCUUGACGCUGAGGCGCGAAAGCUAGGGUAGCAAACGGG